RNAcentral lists this unclassified non-coding RNA (336 nucleotides) under Melitaea cinxia (Glanville fritillary). Its description in RNAcentral is "misc RNA ENSMCXG00005003051.1". Lineage: Eukaryota; Metazoa; Arthropoda; Insecta; Lepidoptera; Nymphalidae. The record is from RNAcentral.
UGGGAUUCUGCUUGCGUUAGCUGUGGUUAACACAUGUGCUUUAGUCAUCUUGGUGUUUUUUUCUAAUUGUUUACAGUGUAAAUAGUAGAUUAUUGUGGGAAUAGUGGUUAAACUAACAUUUUUACUGUAGGUUAAGGUGUAACAAUGAAAGUCUUACUAUUUUGCCUGUUUUCAAAAUUAAAUUGAGACUGUUAUCUCAACUGCACCGAUCAAUCAAUCUCCUACGUGUGUUCUCCACUCUACGUGACAUUGGCGGAAUCAACCGUGCUUCUCUGGCACAACUGAAAGCCAUUAAACCAAUCAAUCAAUCAAAAAAACUCAUAGCCAGUAUGAAAG